This 519-nucleotide ribosomal RNA is filed under the name uncultured eukaryote. RNAcentral's name for it is "SSU rRNA". It matches the Rfam family "Eukaryotic small subunit ribosomal RNA", at positions 1161 to 1699 of the family's 1831-position model. The record is from RNAcentral.
AGGGCACCACCAGGAGUGGAGCCUGCGGCUUAAUUUGACUCAACACGGGAAAACUCACCCGGCCCGGACACUGGAAGGAUUGACAGAUUGAGAGCUCUUUCUUGAUUCAGUGGGUGGUGGUGCAUGGCCGUUCUUAGUUGGUGGAGUGAUUUGUCUGGUUAAUUCCGAUAACGAACGAGACUCUAGCCUACUAAAUAGAUCGUCGGCUUACAAACGCCGGCGGGACUUCUUAGAGGGACAGGCGGUGAUUCAACCGCACGAAACAGAGCAAUAACAGGUCUGUGAUGCCCUUAGAUGUCCGGGGCCGCACGCGCGCUACACUGAAGUGAUCAGCGUGCUUUUUCAACCUACUCUGUCAAGAGUGGGGAACCCAAUGAACCUUCUUCGUGAUUGGGAUAGGGGAUUGUAAUUAUUCCCCUUGAACGAGGAAUUCCCAGUAAGCGCGAGUCAUAAGCUCGCGUUGAUUACGUCCCUGCCCUUUGUACACACCGCCCGUCGCUACUACCGAUUGAAUGUUUU